GACGAACGCUGGCGGCGUGCUUAAUACAUGCAAGUCGAACGGUAAGGCCCUUCGGGGUACACGAGUGGCGAACGGGUGAGUAACACGUGGGUGAUCUGCCCUGCACUUCGGGAUAAGCCUGGGAAACUGGGUCUAAUACCGGCUAGGACAACUGCCUGCAUGGGUGGUGGGGGGAAGCUUUUGCGGUGUGGGAUGGGCCCGCGGCCUAUCAGCUUGUUGGUGGGGUGAUGGCCUACCAAGGCGACGACGGGUAGCCGGCCUGAGAGGGUGACGGGCCACACUGGGACUGAGAUACGGCCCAGACUCCUACGGGAGGCAGCAGUGGGGAAUAUUGCACAAUGGGCGCAAGCCUGAUGCAGCGACGCCGCGUGAGGGAUGACGGCCUUCGGGUUGUAAACCUCUUUCAGCACCGACGAAGCGCAAGUGACGGUAGGUGCAGAAGAAGGACCGGCCAACUACGUGCCAGCAGCCGCGGUAA
Molecule: ribosomal RNA, 478 nt
Filed under: uncultured bacterium
Lineage: Bacteria
Description: partial 16S ribosomal RNA
Rfam family: Bacterial small subunit ribosomal RNA
Source: RNAcentral